UCAAGAACGGUACCGUGUACGCAGGGUCCGGAUGGGAGAAAAUGUGUAAAGACCUUAUUUGUAAUAACAACUUUAAGACACGAAUUUUGAUUGGCCGACCAAUCAUCACCGGUUGUGGCUGAGACUGCGAGGGAAUAACAAGAUGGCGACAGAGACGAUGUAUAUACAGAGUCAGAAUGGAAAUUGCUCGAUUGAAGACGAAUGGCGUUUGACAUAUGCAGAAAUAGUGUGGGCAAUGCCUGCUUCAGCAACUUUCAAGACUAAGGCAUGUUCCUAUGCCACAUGGCAGUCAAAGAAAAAAAGGAAAUCACCCGACGUAAAAGAGGUGAAACAUAUAAAGACUACAUCUAGAUGAAGGAGGAGGAGAAGAAGUACUAUCCGUUACAAUCAUAAAAAGGUAAAUAAUAUAAUGUUUUUU
Molecule: long non-coding RNA, 418 nt
Organism: Mizuhopecten yessoensis (Yesso scallop)
Lineage: Eukaryota; Metazoa; Mollusca; Bivalvia; Pectinida; Pectinidae
Exons: 3
Source: RefSeq, a predicted model, not a curated record